UACGUAGGGUGCGAGCGUUAAUCGGAAUUACUGGGCGUAAAGUGUGCGCAGGCGGCCGCGCAAGUCGAGUGUGAAAGCCCCGGGCUUAACUUUGGGAAUUGCGCUCGAAACUACGUGGCUAGAGUGUGGCAGAGGGAGGUGGAAUUCCACGUGUAGCGGUGAAAUGCGUAGAGAUGUGGAGGAACACCGAUGGCGAAGGCAGCCUCCUGGGCCAACACUGACGCUCAUGCACGAAAGCGUGGGGGAGCAAACAGG
RNAcentral lists this ribosomal RNA (255 nucleotides) under uncultured bacterium. Its description in RNAcentral is "partial 16S ribosomal RNA". It matches the Rfam family "Bacterial small subunit ribosomal RNA", at positions 524 to 776 of the family's 1533-position model. The record is from RNAcentral.